RNAcentral lists this long non-coding RNA (645 nucleotides) under Salvia miltiorrhiza (redroot sage). RNAcentral describes it as "long non-coding RNA (SMIL_LNC003878)". The record is from RNAcentral. Lineage: Eukaryota; Viridiplantae; Streptophyta; Magnoliopsida; Lamiales; Lamiaceae.
UUUACUUGUAUUAAUUUUUCGGAUAAAGAUAGGUUGAUUUACAAAGUGACGAUUUCUCUAUUUAUAUAGACAAAUUACAAAAGGGGUACAAUUGUAAAGAUAGGUUGAUUUACAAAGUGACGAUUUCACCUCCUAAUCAGCUUUUUUAUCCUUCUUAUAACUGAUUCUACAAACUCUCUCAAGGCAUGAAGAUGAUUUGGCUUUGAUUCUCUCCUAGCGUUUUUGGUCGUGAAAGAAUAAUUCUUCAUCCUGUGGAAAAAAUAGCAUAAGUCGUCUCAAGAUAUAUAUAAUUAAAGGUUCACCAUGGCAUUAGGCUGGUGACGUGGCCUAGAUGCUUUAUGGGCGCCACCGUGGCAUUUUGGUUCUAUCCUUUAUUUUUCCUAGUCUUGACCUUUUAAGAAAGUGUCACUGUGGCAUUUAGCGAAACCUUCCUCUCCUCUAGUUGAGACCCCUCAUGGAAGUGCCACCAUGGCACUUAGCUUGUCACUACAUUUUUCCCAAACACACGACUCUUUUUCUACUUUGAGAGUUUUGGCAAGAUCUUCAACAUUGGAUGAUCUUAUGGUCCUAAGUAAUGGAAGUGUCAUCGUGGCACUAAAUUGGAGGUGCCACUAUGGCCCAGAUCCUCUAAAUCCUUUGCUUCCU